UACGUAGGGUGCGAGCGUUAAUCGGAAUUACUGGGCGUAAAGCGUGCGCAGGCGGUUCGGAAUGAAAGAUGUGAAAUCCCAGGGCUUAACCCUGGAACUGCAUUUUUAACUCCCGGGCUAGAGUGUGUCAGAGGGGGGUAGAAUUCCACGUGUAGCAGUGAAAUGCGUAGAGAUGUGGAGGAAUACCGAUGGCGAAGGCAGCCCCCUGGGACAACACUGACGCUCAGGCACGAAAGCGUGGGUAGCGAACAGG
This 253-nucleotide ribosomal RNA is filed under the name uncultured bacterium. RNAcentral's name for it is "partial 16S ribosomal RNA". It matches the Rfam family "Bacterial small subunit ribosomal RNA", at positions 524 to 776 of the family's 1533-position model. The record is from RNAcentral.